GACGAACGCUGGCGGCGUGCUUAACACAUGCAAGUCGAACGGAAAGGCCCUGCUUUUGUGGGGUGCUCGAGUGGCGAACGGGUGAGUAACACGUGAGUAACCUGCCCUUGACUUUGGGAUAACUUCAGGAAACUGGGGCUAAUACCGGAUAGGAGCUCCUGCUGCAUGGUGGGGGUUGGAAAGUUUCGGCGGUUGGGGAUGGACUCGCGGCUUAUCAGCUUGUUGGUGGGGUAGUGGCUUACCAAGGCUUUGACGGGUAGCCGGCCUGGGAGGGUGACCGGCCACAUUGGGACUGAGAUACGGCCCAGUCUCCUACGGGAGGCAGCAGUGGGGAAUAUUGCACAAUGGGCGGAAGCCUGAUGCAGCAACGCCGCGUGCGGGAUGACGGCCUUCGGGUUGUAAACCGCUUUCGCCUGUGCCGAAGCGUGAGUGACGGUAAUGGGUAAAGAAGCACCGGCUAACUACGUG
Molecule: ribosomal RNA, 468 nt
Filed under: uncultured bacterium
Lineage: Bacteria
Description: partial 16S ribosomal RNA
Rfam family: Bacterial small subunit ribosomal RNA
Source: RNAcentral